CAAUGUAACUCUGAAUCUCCACUAAAUCCCCUUGAAUAGCUUCAAUCAUGGAAGUCAAAGCACUAAUGCUAAGAUCCAUUGGGAAAUAGAUGUCAUCAUAUCUCCUAUCAAGCCUCUCUUAAGUAGUUUCCAGAGCUCUGUAGAUCACUUUUACCAACUGAUCUAUCUCUUCCCUGGUAUGAAAAUCUGGUUGAGACUUCAUCGUAUGUGAGUGUGGUGGAUUUUCGUCGACCGAUGCUGGUAAGCGGUUGUCGAUCGAUGCAUGUAAGCGAC
This 273-nucleotide long non-coding RNA is filed under the name Brassica napus (rape). RNAcentral's name for it is "long non-coding RNA (BNAP_LNC010274)". The record is from RNAcentral. Lineage: Eukaryota; Viridiplantae; Streptophyta; Magnoliopsida; Brassicales; Brassicaceae.